UGGCCUCGGCCCGAGUUGUAAUUUGCAGAGGAUGCUUCUGGCGCGGUGCCUUCCGAGUUCCCUGGAACGGGACGCCACAGAGGGUGAGAGCCCCGUAUGGUCGGACACCAAGCCUGUGUGAAGCUCCUUCGACGAGUCGAGUAGUUUGGGAAUGCUGCUCUAAAUGGGAGGUAAAUCUCUUCUAAAGCUAAAUACCGGCCAGAGACCGAUAGCGCACAAGUAGAGUGAUCGAAAGAUGAAAAGCACCUUGAAAAGGGGGUUAAAUAGUACGUGAAAUUGUUGAAAGGGAAGCACUUGUGACCAGACUUGGGCCGGGCGGCUCAUCAGGGGUUCUCCCCUGUGCACUCCGCCCGGCACAGGCCAGCAUCGGUUCUCGUGGGGGGAUAAGACCGUCAGGAACGUAGCACCCUCCGGGGUGUGUUAUAGCCUGGCGGACGAUACCCCCGUGGGGACCGAGGUUCGCGCUCCGCAAGGAUGCUGGCGUAAUGGUCACCAGUGACCCGUCUUGAAACACGGACCAAGGAGUCGUCCAUUAGAGCGAGCGUUUGGGUGUAAAACCCGCACGCGUAAUGAAAGUGAACGCAGGUGAGAGCUUCGGCGCAUCAUCGACCGAUCCUGAUGUUCUCGGAAGGAUUUGAGUAAGAGUUUUAACGGACGGACCCGAAAGACAGUGAACUAUGCUUGUAUAGGGUGAAGCCAGAGGAAACUCUGGUGGAGGCUCGCAGCGGUUCUGACGUGCAAAUCGAUCGUCAAAUAUGAGCAUGGGGGCGAAAGACUAAUCGAACUGUCUAGUAGCUGGUUACCGCCGAAGUUUCCCUCAGGAUAGCAGUGUUGAUCUUCAGUUUUAUGAGGUAAAGCGAAUGAUUAGGGACUCGGGGGCGCUAUAUAGCCUUCAUCCAUUCUCAAACUUUAAAUAUGUAAGAAGCCCUUGUUACUUAGUUGAACGUGGGCAUUCGAAUGUACCAACACUAGUGGGCCAUUUUUGGUAAGCAGAACUGGCGAUGCGGGAUGAACCGAACGCGGGGUUAAGGCGCCAGAGUGUACGCUCAUCAGACACCACAAAAGGCGUUAGUACAUCUUGACAGCAGGACGGUGGCCAUGGAAGUCGGAAUCCGCUAAGGACUGUGUAACAACUCACCUGCCGAAUGUACUAGCCCUGAAAAUGGAUGGCGCUCAAGCGUACCGCCCAUACCCCGCCCCCAGGGUAGAAACGAUGCCCUGGGGAGUAGGCGGCCGUGGGGG
Molecule: ribosomal RNA, 1242 nt
Filed under: Diaporthe sp. RP43
Lineage: Eukaryota; Fungi; Ascomycota; Sordariomycetes; Diaporthales; Diaporthaceae
Description: eukaryotic LSU rRNA
Rfam family: Eukaryotic large subunit ribosomal RNA
Source: RNAcentral